UUACCCCGCAAGGGGUGACUGAGUGGCAAACGGGUGAGUAACACGUGGGUGACCUGCCUUCGAGUGGGGGAUAACGUUUCGAAAGGAACGCUAAUACCGCAUGACAUCCUGCCUUUGAACAGGUGGAGAUCAAAGCCGGGGAUCGCAAGACCUGGCGCUUGAAGAGGGGCCCGCGUCCGAUUAGCUAGUAGGUGGGGUAACGGCUCACCAAGGCGACGAUCGGUAUCCGGCCUGAGAGGGCGGACGGACACACUGGGACUGAGACACGGCCCAGACUCCUACGGGAGGCAGCAGUGGGGAAUUGUUCGCAAUGGGCGCAAGCCUGACGACGCAACGCCGCGUGGAGGAUGAAGGUCUUCGGAUUGUAAACUCCUGUUGAUCGGGACGAAUAACCAUCGGGAUAACACCCCGGAGGUCUGACGGUACCGAUUGAGGAAGCCCCGGCUAACUCUGUGCCAGCAGCCGCGGUAAUACAGAGGGGGCAAGCGUUGUUCGGAAUUACUGGGCGUAAAGGGCGCGUAGGCGGCCGCCUAAGUCAGACGUGAAAUCCCUCGGCUCAACCGGGGAACUGCGUCUGAUACUGGGUGGCUUGAAUUCGGGAGAGGGAUGCGGAAUUCCAGGUGUAGCGGUGAAAUGCGUAGAUAUCUGGAGGAACACCGGUGGCGAAGGCGGCAUCCUGGACCGAGAUUGACGCUGAGGCGCGAAAGCCAGGGGAGCAAACGGGAUUAGAUACCCCGGUAGUCCUGGCCCUAAACGAUGAGUGCUUGGUGUGGCGGGUAUCGAUCCCUGCCGUGCCGAAGCU
RNAcentral lists this ribosomal RNA (802 nucleotides) under uncultured Acidobacteriota bacterium. Its description in RNAcentral is "bacterial SSU rRNA". It matches the Rfam family "Bacterial small subunit ribosomal RNA", at positions 72 to 853 of the family's 1533-position model. Lineage: Bacteria; Pseudomonadati; Acidobacteriota. The record is from RNAcentral.